This 608-nucleotide ribosomal RNA is filed under the name Cecidophyes siedleckii. RNAcentral's name for it is "partial 28S ribosomal RNA". The record is from RNAcentral. Lineage: Eukaryota; Metazoa; Arthropoda; Arachnida; Trombidiformes; Eriophyidae.
AAAUAGAACUUUGUAGAGAGAGUUAACAGGGCGUGAAACCGUUAAUUGGCAAACGAAUCGGAGCCACGAAGUCGUUUCGUUGAAUUUUGGUUGGGUUCAGUGUUAUAGUUAAUCACUAUAGCGCGUAUUUCCAAUUAAAACAUCAUUGUAAGCGUACACUGCAACCAGUUAGACAAAUGGUCAUGGAAAUAGUCUUUAAUUUCUUCGGGAAUUAUUGGCGUCAAAUUUGUUUGUUCAUGUUAGUAGUAAUGUUUUGUGUAUUUAGGUACUACAUAGCGUUGCUGGAUAUGUUACAAGUGAGCUAUAACCAUAGACUGACUGGCAAAAUGAAAAUCACUCUAUCAUGAGUGUUUACAUAAAAUGCUAUUUGUUGUAUACAAGUCUACUUGUUUGACCAUUUGGUUUAAGCUCAACAUUUUUGAAUUUGGACUUGCUAGCUAUCAAUGGGGCAACUCUUGAUGUUAGUAUAGCUUCCAUCUAAUCAGGUGUUGACUUGAUCGGAUGUUGUUUAAAUAAGAAUCGUUUGGGCAUGUAUGCAAUCAAAUUAGCUAUUAUUGGCAGUGAGUAGGUCGGCUUUCCGAACGACCCGUCUUGAAACACGGACCAAG